AGGACGAACGCUGGCGGCGUGCUUAACACAUGCAAGUCGAGCGGUAAGGCCCUUCGGGGUACACGAGCGGCGAACGGGUGAGUAACACGUGGGUAACCUGCCCUGUACUGUGGGAUAAGCCUGGGAAACUGGGUCUAAUACCGCAUAUGACUGCAUUCCGCAUGGGGUGUGGUGGAAAGUUCUGGCGGUACAGGAUGGGCCCGCGGCCUAUCAGCUUGUUGGUGGGGUGAUGGCCUACCAAGGCGACGACGGGUAGCCGGCCUGAGAGGGCGACCGGCCACACUGGGACUGAGACACGGCCCAGACUCCUACGGGAGGCAGCAGUGGGGAAUCUUGCGCAAUGGGCGAAAGCCUGACGCAGCGACGCCGCGUGAGGGAUGACGGCCUUCGGGUUGUAAACCUCUUUCGACCGGGACGAAGCGUGAGUGACGGUACCGGUAGAAGAAGCACCGGCUAACUACGUGCCAGCAGCCGC
Molecule: ribosomal RNA, 475 nt
Filed under: uncultured bacterium
Lineage: Bacteria
Description: SSU rRNA
Rfam family: Bacterial small subunit ribosomal RNA
Source: RNAcentral